UAAUAAGUGUUUUAUGGCACUUUUUAAAUCCAUAUCCACCUUGUGUGCAAUGUCAGGUCGAUCUUCUUCUAUUGAGAGUCGACCAAACAUCAACCUUUAUCUUUUAACUCUUUGUCUGAAAAAUAUUAUGAAUAAACAAUUCAAAAUACAACUUUCAACAACGGAUCUCUUGGCUCUCGCAUCGAUGAAGAACGCAGCGAAAUGCGAUACGUAAUGUGAAUUGCAGAAUUCAGUGAAUCAUCGAAUCUUUGAACGCAUAUUGCGCUCUUUGGUAUUCCGAAGAGCAUGCUUGUUUGAGUAUCAGUAAACACCUCAAAGCUUUUGGAUUUUUUUAUCGAAAGCUUUGGACUUGAGCAAUCCCAACACCAAUCUUUUUUUAAGAUCGGUGGCGGGUUGCUUGAAAUGCAGGUGCAGCUGGACAUUCUCCUGAGCUAAAAGCAUAUUCAUUUAGUCCCGUCAAACGGAUUAUUACUUUUGCUGCAGCUAACAUAAAGGGAGUUUGACCGUAUUGGCUGACUGAUGCAGGAUUUCACAAGGGUCGGCAACGAUUCUUGUUAAACUCGAUCUCAAAUCAAGUAAGACUACCCUGCUGAACUUAAGCAUAUCAAUAAGCGGAGAUCGCGAUCUUGGUCAUUUAGAGGAAGUAAAAGUCGUAACAAGGUUUCCGUAGGUGAACCUGCGGAAGGAUCAUUAGUGAAUUAAACAUGCUUGGUGUCUUCGCUUCGGCAAGGCCCUUGCUUAAAUCACAUCCUAACACCUGUGAACUGUAAGACGUAUGAUGAGGUCUUUGGCCAAGUCAUCGUCUGCCCAUUUUUAACAAACAAUUAAUGUAACAAACGUAGUCUUAUUAUAACCUAAUA
This 860-nucleotide unclassified non-coding RNA is filed under the name soil metagenome. RNAcentral describes it as "partial contains internal transcribed spacer 1, 5.8S ribosomal RNA, and internal transcribed spacer 2". The stretch from base 150 to 303 matches the Rfam family "5.8S ribosomal RNA". The record is from RNAcentral.